This 414-nucleotide long non-coding RNA is filed under the name Setaria viridis. Its description in RNAcentral is "long non-coding RNA (SVIR_LNC009168)". The record is from RNAcentral. Lineage: Eukaryota; Viridiplantae; Streptophyta; Magnoliopsida; Poales; Poaceae.
UGCCUUAGUGGCCGAACCUUUGUGGCGAGUCAAGGUGGUGCCUUGGAAGAGAUUUGGUGACCGGGAAGGAAUACUCUUGUGUGAGUGCUUCAACAACGUGGACUAGUGGUGGCUUAGUGCCUACCGAUACCACAGGAAAAAUCCUUGUGUCAAGAGUUUGCUUGCUCUCAUCCCCUCCUUAUAUUUCCGCAUUUCAUACUUGCAACUUGUGUGCCUUUACUUUCCUGGAGUAGUAUCUUGAUAGGAUUGGCUAUAGGUUGUAAAACUUAUUUUGGGAUGAGGGUCUCACACUAGAUCAACCAUAGAUUGCACUUUUAGAUAGCAUGAUCUAGUUUAUGUUUUGAUGCAAAAUAGUGGAAGCCAUAGGUUAAGUUUUUAAGUUUCCUAAUUCACCCCUUCCCCCUCUUAGGCUAC